RNAcentral lists this long non-coding RNA (9137 nucleotides) under Cricetulus griseus (Chinese hamster). RNAcentral's name for it is "lncRNA (ENSCGRG00015038433.1)". The record is from RNAcentral. Lineage: Eukaryota; Metazoa; Chordata; Mammalia; Rodentia; Cricetidae.
CUCCUUGGUGUGAUGGCCACAAUUAGGCUGGCUGCUGUCUCAGAAGCUAUGUGCAAAAUGUGUGGGCCAGCAGAAGGCCCUGUCACCCUGGGGUGGCCAAGCAGAAGCCGCAGCAGUGGCAGAUGUGUUCCAGAGGCUAUGUGGGAAGUUCAGGGUGCUCUGUGGGACAGCCAGCUGCAGCCACUGGGCUUUCUUGCAAAGAUGUCUUCAAGAAUCUUCUGCCCUGGGCAUCCCUAUCACUCCACUAAUCACUCUGGGCCUCAUGGUGGCUGCCCCAUCCUGUCAAGAAGACAUACCACCUAGACAUUUUCACAUUGAGCCUCUAGAAUCCAGCUCCUCAGGGCACUACCAUCAGCUAUGGAUACCCUGGCUGGUCCAGGAGGCCUUGGUCAUGAGACACCUCCUUCCCUGCUGUGGCCUGUGUGAAUGAUGCUUACCCGACUGGCUUAGUUUUGGAUCUGAGCAUCUCUCCCCACAAGGCCAAGAUGGAGGCUGACCAAGGGCUGUUCCUGCUCACCCAUGCUACUCACCAGAAGCUCUGUGGAAAAGUGGAAACUAUGUCCCUGGUCUUCCUUUCAGGACUUGGCUGAGAUCAGGCUACUUCUUGAGAGGCCUGGAUUCAACUGAGGAAUAUCAUUUUGGAAAAUAUAGAAACUUCUAGACUGUGGAGACACUUGGGAAGGAAUGAUCUGUGUUGACUUGAAUGAAAAAAGACAUCUCUGGAUUUUACCCACAGCUGGUGAAGGCUCACCAUCCCAACUCAUCUUCUGUCGUGUAGAAAAGUCCCUGAUGCCACUACCCAGAAUGCUCUUCUCCACCUGCCCCUGUCCCAGGCACCGCAUCCUUCCCUGCCUGACCCCACCUCACCUUUGGACCCAAAGAUGCUUCUUAUUUGCUCUAUUAUCUUCGAGCCGGAUGCAGAGUGAAUAGUUAACUAUUCUUGAGUUGAAUGGGUCUUGAUUUUUUUUGUUGCUGUUCCUUGUAAAGAGAUCAUUCUCAGUGCAUGGCACGCAGCCUGGAAAAGGUAUGUGACUCCAGAGUGACACGAGAGCCAGCGUGAAGGCCCUGUUAGCUCUUGGAGGCCAGGGAAAGUGGAGACAGCUGAGCCGGGAGUUGAGUAGAGCUGGCGCUGGCUGUGGUCUUGCACUGGUUGGAUCCACAUGCAGGUGUACAUUUGGACUGGUAGAGGUGAAGCCAUUUUCUGUGACACAAAGGGAAUGAGCUAAAAGACCUUCUUCAGAGGUGGCAGUUGGCAAUCAGCUCAUCCAGGGCUGUGUGACUGAGCCGCCAGCUCCAUUGGUGUUGCCUUCUGUGCAUGUCCUCGCUGUCCUGUGUGCUGUCAGCAGCCGGAGCCUUUUCCUCCUCCCUCCUCUGUGGCCUCUACUUGUGCAGUUGGAAAUCCUUCCUAAUCAUGUCAUGACUCCACCUUCUUGACUGUGCACUCGAAGAUGUUUGAGACUUUUUUUUAUUUAUAAAAUGGAUGGAUAGUUUGUUUCCUCGAAUUGUCAUUGGCAUGAUUCUAUGGCUGUGUUCAGUGACUUUACAGUGGGGCAUUGUCUUUGGCCUCUCAGAUUCUCCAUGGUGGAAUUGAAGAGACUUCCUAAAGAUGUUUAAUGCUGCUGAAAUCCAAAGAAGGCUUACAAACAUCCACCUGCCCUCCCUCCCUCCCCCUCCAUCCCUCCUUCCCUCCGUCCCUCCCUCCUUUCCUAAGCACACAGUGCCAUUGUCUGUGUUGUAUGAGUUUCUUCAGGUUUGAAGGAAUGGUGACCCACUCCUAUUAUCCCUAUAGGUCUUUUCUAACAGUGGGUAAGGUAAUAGAAAUGGUUGGAGGGACUGCCCAGAUGGCCUGCCCUAUAAUCCCAUAGUUAGACCAUAUACUCAAGAACUACAGGGAUGACAAGGACGGUAGCAUCCAGACCGUCAUGUGCCUCCCUAUACAGUAGGAAAUAGUGUUUCUAACUCCCACAUUCCACUCUGUGGAGCUGGGGAGAUCCAGUCAUCCCAGACUGCCAAGGACAUGGGAUUUCUUGGGACAAGAGAUUUGGGGGAGCUAAACCUGGGGCUGACUUAGGAAAAGUGUCACGAUUGGUCAUCCUACUGAGUGAACCAGUGACCAUAUCUCUUCUGCUGCAGCAGCAAGGGAAAGCUUCUAGGUUGCUUGGCCAAUUCCUAUUCAGAGCUGUAUAUCUGGUCACUCUUUGGACACAGGUCUGAGCGGAUCAGGUGCUCCAUCCUGACCAAAUCUGUUAUCUGUAAGAUGGUAAGUUUGUCUUGUACUGAAGAAAAUCUGAAGUGUCAUGGGCCAGAAAAUAUGAAGUGUCGUGGGCCAGUUGAGACCAUGUCCUUCCGAGGAGUUUGUAUACAGUGGGCAUGGCAGAAAUUCAAAAUACCUGGGAUUGCUCUAGGGCAGUCCUAUGUAGGUGACACUUACCUCUUAUUCAAAAUGAAACUGCCCUUGAAGAAGCAAACCCACAGCCACCAGGAUAGUACAGGAUGCAUGGCACCAUGUUCAUGUUUGCAUGUGUGUGUGUGUGUGUGUGUGUGUGUGCUUAACACCUGUGCAAACAUGUGCUAUAGAGAAUAAACCAAGAUCAAAAAUUUGCAUCUUCGCUAGACAGAGACAAAGAGCUGAAAUCUUAGGGACGAUGUCUGGAAAGCAAGGGACUUGGCUAGGAGACUUCCUGGAAGUCCUUUGAAGUGUAGCUUUUAUUUAGACUAUCAAGGGCAUUUCAGCUGGGGAUAAGUGUGUACUUUCUCUCUAGAGUCCUCCCCGAUAACCCUGAUAACCUGGGUUCAACUCAGAAACCACUGAGUGGGACCUCCCAGCUCACUCUCCCCUUCUCAGUCACUAGCAUCAGGGAGUGGGAGGAACUUCAAGGAGGUGAGGACGGGCGGGGUCAUGCCAAUCCAAUUCGGGGUGUUCAUGACAAGUAAGAGCAAUUGAAAGGUAAAUUACAGGUUCUUUUGCAGCUUGAAAAAGCCAGGUUUUCAGGAUCACCUGGCACCUGAAGCUGUUGCUGCCUGUCAGGGCUUUCAGCCCACAUCUUUCUGCUGAAGGCUAAGCAUGAGGGUCCAUGAUGCUGGAGCAUGGCGUCCCACUAAUUCUUCUCAUCUUGAGUUGAAGGCCACAGGCGGUUAAUUACAUACUAGGGUUGCAAUGAGAUCCAGGGGUUUUGGCAUAAUUCUUGGAUUGGGAAGAAUACUAGCCUGUAUCCUUCUCUUUGGGCACCAUCUUUGAAAAGAUGACCAUGGGAUUGGGGAGAUGGCUCAAUCAAGAAACUAUGUGAGGACCAGUGUGUGGUGGUAUACAGUUAUUAACCCAAUGCUUGAGAGACAGAUUCCUGGGCUUCACUGCUCAGCCAGCCUGGCCUACUUGGCAAGUUCCAGGCCAAUGAGAGACCCUGUCUCAAAAAAACAAGGGGGCUAGAGAGAUGGCUUGGUGUUUAAGAGUGCCUGCUGCUCUUGCAGAGGACCACAGUACAGUUUCCACUCCCCACACCAGGCAGCUCACAACUGCCUGGAGCUCAAGUUCUAGGGCAUCACACACCUUUUUCUGACCUCCACAGAAACUUUGGUCUCUGCUCAAGCACACAUGUGCAUGCAUGCAUGCUCACUCUCUCACUCUGUCUCUCUGUCUCCCUGUCUGCCCCCCCAAAAGAUGAUCAUGUUUCAGCUGACCCCCUUCAUAUGUACCCUGUCACCCUUUGAUCCUAGAAGAAGCUUUGCCAUUGAGAUAGAGACAGCUGUUUCCUACUCCCUUUUCCUCCACAUAGAGCCCCCGGAUCUCAGCAGCUAAAGUACCCUACCUCAUCAGUUUUCUGGAACAAUCUAUUCACACAGGAAUCUCCUUUUAAAUUCUGACCAGAUGUCAUCCAGGCCUGGGGAGGCAGCCUUUGGUUGAGAGGGAAUUGUGAAGGGGGCUGAACAGUAUUUACCACCAUGGUGGGAAGAAGAGAAUUUGAAAGAGCAAUUCAGAGGCUGCCACGUGGCCGUGAUUGUCAACUCCUCAACAACAUUUUUGAGCUAAUAUAUUUUGUCUUCUCCCCUAAUCAGUCUCCUAUUUUUGGAUCCUAGUGGUAUGUGUAUGCUGGUUUAAAAUAAAAAUCACAGGGCAGGGAAACAGGAGACCUGAGAUUUUGAUGUCAGAAAGUCCCUCAUUUUAGCUCCUUGUAUUUAACAUGCAGGGCUGGGCACAGGUGCCUAGGACCAUCUCCUGACGACAUUCACAUUGCUGUUGUAUUUGAAGGACAAGCCAUCAGUUUUCUAGGAGUUGGUGUCUUAAAGAUCUACUGUAUUUUCUGUAGUGGAAGAGACCAUUAGCGGAUAUCCAUGGGCCAAUGGAAAUCACCCCAUCCCCGUGCUGACCACUCUCAACCUGAUCAUGACUCAGGUAUCGUGAUCAUAACGACAUUUCAAAUUUACUCUGCUCCGCACCCCUGGGAUCUUAUGGGGCAUUUGAACUUGACUCCAAACCAUAGGAACACUCUGCUCUACAAACAGACCUGGGGACCUUUCUAUGGAGAUAUGAGUAUGGAAUUACUACAGAUGGGAAGAUGUUUAUGGGGAAGUGUGGCCUCCUGCUCAGGAGACUGCAGGGCAGAGAGUACCUUUGGAAAUGACCACCGACUCUGUAGGCUUGUGGAAAACAUGUGGAGGGAAGCCUAAGGAGAUCCUUGAACUUUUGAUAGGUUGAGGAGUGGUCUGGAUACCUGGGAUCUAGUCCUUUGCCUCAACCAGCUCAAGGUCAUGUGUCAGUCACUCCACCCUGCCUCUGUGGCUCAGUUUUUCUUCGUACAUGCAAUGGAGCAGGGAAGUAAAGACGUUGCCUGUGAGUCAGGUUUGUCGCCCUGCCUGCCCUGGCUGCUGUCUAUUUCCUGAUUGGUAGCUCACUGUCCCUUCAGCUGCACAAAUUGGAAUUAAGACUGUCCCAUCCCAGGGAAGUCCAUUACCAAAGAAUACUUCAAAGAUGUUUGCACAUGUUGUCAGUUGCACUGAGCAUGAGUUUGUUGAAGGAAAAGGCAAAUAGACACACAGCUGGUGACGGGAAAUAAUGGGGGCUGUUUAGCCCUGAGUGACUGCAAGGCAAGGGGGUAAAAAAAAACCAAGUCUGCCUGUCAUUUUGACCAAUAAGUAAAAAUGGGGAGUGCUGAAUAGUUAAAGCCAUUGGGGAUUUAUUAGUUUGCCUAGUGAAGGGCAAAUAUUAAGUCUGAAAUUGACCCAUCCUGGGACCUGCCUUUUGGCUUUUGUGACCUGCCAGGUGCUGAUCUCUGCAGACUCCAAGUUACUAAGUUCUCUUCGGUUUCUUUUUUAAAGUUGUGUUCUGUCUCCCUCUUUGGUCCCUCCUUUACCUAUCCUUUCCACCUCCCACCCUUCCCAGAAACUCAAGUAUGGAUUUUGGAGGAGGUGGAAGUCUGCCGGAUCAUAAAAUUCUUUGUACCAAGGGCUCUGACUGGCCUGGGGUUGAGCUGCCUGCAAUUGGGUGGCCUUGGGAAGUGAGCUUACUAGGUUGCCGUACAGAUUCUCCAUCUUCUGACCUGGACUUUAGAGUGCUAAUAGGCAAAGGAUUUGUCCCUCAUUAAACUUACAGUGAGUACAGUGGCAAGUGUUAGAAAGGCCAGACCAUAGCUAUUUCUAAAUCAUAACUCUCUGUCCUAGGAGACCAUACUUGCCUCUCCAUGACAAGUAACUUCAGCACGCAUGUCCAGAGAGGUACUACUUAAGGAGGGGUCCACUGGACCUAUGACUAUUAGAACAGGGGGGGAUGAGCAGUCUACCUAGCUUCCAAGAAUCAGGCAGAAUUUGAGCAUCCCCAGUAGCAAGCAGCCCACUACAUUUGUGGGGUGCUUGGGUCUCCCUUGGGGUGCAGUACUGCUGGGCACAUAGCUCUAUGUCAGACCCUCAGGGCUCUUAUCUAGAGCUGCUCCAGGAGGCUUCCCAGGAAAGUAAGUCUUCCUUCCCUGCCCCAGACUUUACAGACAACUCUCCAUCUAUUGUUCAUGCAGCCCACAGUGGGGAAUGUUCUGGAACUGCUUCAUGACGAAAGUCCCUCUCGUAUUCCAGUAAUGAGCUUUUAUUGAAUGGGGUGUGUUAGCUUUCCAUAGCUUUAGCAAAUAACAGAGAUAAUCAGCGUUUAAAGAAAAAAGGUUUAUUUUGGCUCGUUGUUUUGGAGGUUCCGGUCAGAGCCAUUGCUUGGGGACAAACCUGAGUAGAAGCCUACGGCAGAGCAAAGCCACUCAUUUCAUGGCUGGAUAAAGAAAGAAGGUCCUGAGUCCAAUUCCACAGUCUCCCCAAGGGCAUUUCCCCAAUGGCAUGAAGACUUCCAGGAGACCCAGACCUUAACACAUAAGCCUUUGGUUGGUGUGGGGUGGAGGAUAGUUCCAGAUUCAACCUGCAGCGUACCAUGUGAUUUCAAAUCCUUUGUCCCUCUGUACAGAGGAGCCAGUGUUUUGAAGGAUAGCUGGUCAGCUUGUCUCCAACUCUCCCUUUUCUAUGAAGCCUUCCUUGAUUUUUCCUUUCCUCUCAAUCAGUUGGGACAGCCCUCUCAUAUAGUUUAUGAAGCAUGUUGCAGCAUGUAUGUAAGUAUGUAUGUGUGUCCCUCCUCCCAUAGUUAGUAUCAAAUUAACUACCUUGAGGUUGAAUUAUUCUGGGUGUCUCCUCUCUGCUUUCUUCUGUCUCCUCUAACCUCUUCCGUUGGAACAAGAACCUAGUUACUCCCUGUUGAUUGGAAGUUGACCCCAGGUUGCCCCUGUGGUGUCCAGCUCUCACAAUGAGCAGUCUGGUCUGCUGUUCACAGACGUUCUCUGGUCAUUGGAAGACAGGCCCAGAGGAGCCCAGUGCCUUGUCCAAGCCUUACCCAGGUGAGGACUGGUAUUAAGCAGCAGCGGGGUCACUGACAUGGCAAAUGAACCAGCAAGGUGUGGAAUUGACUUUCCCUGUUUGCAGUCUGUCACUGCGUGUAGUGCCACAUCUGCCUGCCUUUUGUUUGCUGUCUAAUAAUCAAUAAAAUGUUAUCAGAACAGAAGAGAAAAUAUGUGAGCUUGACUGUUUGGUUUCCAUGAAGAAAGUGGAAUGCGGCUGGGUUUUCCUGGUCUAACUGCAAAGCUAGGCUCAUGUCUAAGGAGGGCGUAAAUUCAAAGGCUUAGAUCAAGGGGCCAGGGACUUGGUUCCUUUGGUAAAGUGCUUACCACAUAAGCAUGCUGGCUGCUAUAACAAAACACCAUCCAAUCCCAGUGUCUACCUGAGGUUUUCUUAUCUACUCUUCAGUUGAAUGUGAGUUGGCAUCAGUGGAUGCAGAGAAAGCUCUUUGCAGAAAUGUUGGGGCUGAAGGAGUUCUUAAUUGGUCUAUAUAAUAAAAAGGCAGAGUUAGACAUAGAGAGAAAUGCUAGAGAUCAGAGAGGAGAAGCCAGCCACAGCACACCUUACCUCCUAAGCAUCUCAGCAGAGAACAGUUUCCUGUUUCUCCCUGCUUAUAUCCUGUUUCUGCCCAGCUACACAAUUUCCUGUCUGUCUGUACAGACCUCUAGACCUCUAUGGUUAGCUAGUGGCAAGCUCCAUUCUCUGACCCCCAGACAGGCUUUAUUUGUGCAAGAAAGAUAUCACCACACAUGACACUAUUACUCCAAUCCUCUCUCUUCUGUUCACAUUGCAUUGGCAGGAAUUGGUCAGUAUGCUCCACUUGGAUGCAGGAAUCUGAGAAAUUCCCAGCUCUGUUACACAAAUGCUGGUGAACACUAGCAGUUUCUGCCACACACACACACACACCAAAUAUCCACUGUGACAACUGGGGUGUCCUUUAUUGCUUUCAUCAUGGUGGCCUUUCUGCUCCAUAAAUUCUGGCCUCUUGAAUGUGCUGUUGUCACAGCUGGUAUAUAUAGGUUCAAAGGUAUAAGGAAAGCAAGGCAGAGAUGAAGCAAAGCAGAGCCCCGAGUUUCACUUACUUUCAGCAGUGACCCCAUGUAAUUCAUUCACUCUUUCUGUGUCUUGAUUUCCAGUGUGUGCGUGCAUGUUGCAUGUAUGUAAGUAGGUGCUGAUGCACAUGUGUGUAUGUGUGUGGAAGCCAGAGGUCAAACUUAGGUGUUAGUCAUAGGAGCUGUCCACCUUUUUUUUUUUUUUUUAAGCAGGGUCUCUCACUGACCAACCGGCCUGUCUGUCUCUGCCUCCUCAGUCCUGGGAUUACAAGUGUGAACAUCUAUGCAUGGCUUUGUACAUGGGCACCGGGGCUGGAACUCCGGUCUCCACGCUUGCAUGACCUUACCACUUCAAUUUCCCAGCUGAGUCAUCUCCCUAGCCCCAGUUUCCUCCUCUGCUCUGCUUCUAAGUGGUUCCGAAGUCUGAGUGUUGGCAGUUGGAACAGAAUUUGAAGCAACAGCACCCCUUCCAUAUGUCAUCUUGGCUUUAUUUAUUCAGGGCAAGUGUUCUUGAUAUCCAUUGCUUGGGAACCAAGUAGGAUGAUUAAUCUUAAUUGUCAACUUCACCCGAGUGACACAUAGGUAGAAGAUAGUUCAUAAGGCACACCUCUGAGUGUGUCUGCCAUGGCUUUUCCAAGGAAGAGUAGGUUACCAGCACUCUGACCUAAUCAAUGGUUUGAUCCUUGAUAGAUUUAUAGUUGAUGACAUCAUUAAGAAGUGGUGGAAGGUAGGUGGUGGGGUCUAGUUAAAGGGUACAGGUGCCUGGCUCAUGUUUCUCUGACCACUUCCUCAAUCAAUCUCUUUCUUUCUCUCUCUCUCUCUCUCUCUCUCUCUCUCUCUCUCUCUCUCUCUCUCUCUCUCUCUCUCUCUCUCUCCUCCCUCCCUCUCUCUCUCUGUCUUCUCUCCUCUCUCUCCACUCUCUAUUUUCUAUGAAGAGACGCCUCUGGGUUGUGUUACCACCACCAGGACAUUUUGUGCCAGUACACCAUGGUGCCAAGCAAACAUGGACUGAACUCUCUGAAACCAUGAGCCAAAAUAGAUCAGAUUUUACUUUUAGAUUGCAUUGUCAUUAUUUUGUCACAACACAAAAUCUGACCAACUUAAGAAGUGUUUGUAGAGCCACUGAAUGAUGACUCAGUGAGUGCGGGCGUUCACUGCCAGUGCCCUGAGUUCAAUCCCUGGAACCGUGCGAUGGAGGGAGAGAACUGACUUGUGCAAAUUGCCUUCCCA